RNAcentral lists this unclassified non-coding RNA (195 nucleotides) under plant metagenome. Its description in RNAcentral is "partial contains small subunit ribosomal RNA, internal transcribed spacer 1, and 5.8S ribosomal RNA". The record is from RNAcentral.
UCUCCGUUGGUGAACCAGCGGAGGGAUCAUUACCGAGUUUACAACUCCCAAACCCCUGUGAACAUACCAUUUGUUGCCUUGGCGGUGCCUGCUUCGGCAGCCCGCCAGAGGACCCAAACCCUUGAUUUUAUACAGUAUCUCCUGAGUAAAUGAUUAAAUAAAUCAAAACUUUCAACAACGGAUCUCUUGGUUCUG